This 85-nucleotide transfer RNA is filed under the name Candidatus Nomurabacteria bacterium RIFCSPHIGHO2_02_FULL_42_24. Its description in RNAcentral is "tRNA-Ser". It matches the Rfam family "tRNA". From Rfam's summary of the family: Transfer RNA (tRNA) molecules are approximately 80 nucleotides in length. Lineage: Bacteria; Candidatus Nomuraibacteriota. The record is from RNAcentral.
GGAAGCGUGGCUGAGUGGUUUAAAGCACCGGUUUCGAAAACCGGCAUGCCGAAAGGCAUCGGAGGUUCGAAUCCUCCCGCUUCCG